Molecule: unclassified non-coding RNA, 296 nt
Filed under: fungal sp.
Lineage: Eukaryota; Fungi
Description: partial internal transcribed spacer region
Rfam family: Eukaryotic small subunit ribosomal RNA (bases 1-46)
Source: RNAcentral
AAGUCGUAACAAGGUCUCCGUAGGUGAACCUGCGGAGGGAUCAUUAACACGUUAUAUUAUAUCCAUUAAACACCGCGAACUUGUUCGUUCUGACAGGGUGGUCCGGGUGGGCGUGUCGACCCUGGGUGGGCCAAAACCCAUCCAGCUGCAUCAGAUGCCCCGUCCGCGAUCGCAGCUGUUACCCAUCGUACUUUUUUUACUCCAAAAACAUUUGUCCCAGAACAUUGAGUACUCUAACGGGGCUCAAUUCAAACUAAACAUUCGUACAACUCUUGGCAACGGAUAUCUUGGUUCUC